Molecule: long non-coding RNA, 887 nt
Organism: Numida meleagris (helmeted guineafowl)
Lineage: Eukaryota; Metazoa; Chordata; Aves; Galliformes; Numididae
Exons: 5
Source: RefSeq, a predicted model, not a curated record
CUCAGUGAGCAGUCAGAGGGUGUGCGGCGAUAGGAGCGUGGCACAGUAGUUUGCCUUGGUAGGGCAGGCAGGGAAUGUCUGCCGCUUGGGAGAUAGCUUAUCUGCUGUCUUCCAGGUAACAAAUCUAGCCAUGAUCUCCACUAGGCAGACAGCUCUUGCCAAAAAAAGCAUGAGGCUUCUCAGACUGAGUGCCUGCCCAGAAACGCAGCUCUUCAGGUCUCUGCUGCAUCUGGCUCAGUCUCCAGAAAGAUCUGCUGCUCCAGAAAGUGGUUGGAGUACGUACUACAACAUCCUCUGUUCCUGAAUUUCCUCAGGCAUAAAUAUCAGGGAACAUGCCUGAAUUCUGAACCUGAGAGCAGUGAGGAAUGGAUUUUGGUCAGCUCUGAUUCCAGACUUUCUCUUUCCUGUACAUCUCUUUGCAGUACAAGAACAACCCUUGGCUUUGCUAAGAAUAUGAAGUAAAUGUUAUGUUACAUGUAGGAGAAUUGAUAGCAAGUGCCUUUAUGAGUUAUAACCUUUCUACUUCUAGCCGUGAGAAUUAUUUUACAUGAUUGAUUGGUAUAAUUAGGCUGUCUAGUGGAGCAGUGGCAAUUCCUUGUGCUGCCAAGCAGGAGGGACCUCUGUGCUGAACUCUCACAGCCUGGAAUGGCCAACAAUGGGCCUGCCAUGGAGAAGAUGGGUCUGACCUUUGGGGAAGGUGGUGGACAUGUCACUCAAAGAGCAGAGCAGCUGACUGUGAGCAGAAAGCAGCUGUCCAUGUGCCUCUAAUAGCUGGACACAAAACUUAUAUUUCAUCAGGCUCAAUGUAAAGGAAACAGUAGUGAGACAAGAAGCUUUGUGAAUGUGUAGACUGCAGCAGAAUGGAUUGGACUUCAGAGUUCAAAACU